Molecule: ribosomal RNA, 210 nt
Filed under: uncultured bacterium
Lineage: Bacteria
Description: partial 16S ribosomal RNA
Rfam family: Bacterial small subunit ribosomal RNA
Source: RNAcentral
GUUCGGAUUGUAGUCUGCAACCCGACUACAUGAAGCUGGAAUCGCUAGUAAUCGCGGAUCAUAAUGCCGCGGUGAAUACGUUCCCGGGUCUUGUACACACCGCCCGUCACACCAUGGGAGUCGGAAAUGCCCGAAGUCUGUGACCCAACCUUAGGGAGGGAGCAGCCGAAGGCAGGUCGGAUGACUGGGGUGAAGUCGUAACAAGGUAUC